UUGGGUUCACCCGAAGGCGUUGCGCUAACUCGCAAGAGAGGCAGGCGACCACGGGGGGCUUAGCGACUGGGGUGAAGUCGUAACAAGGUAGCCGUAGGUGAACCUGCAGAAGGAUCA
RNAcentral lists this ribosomal RNA (117 nucleotides) under uncultured eukaryote. Its description in RNAcentral is "partial small subunit ribosomal RNA". It matches the Rfam family "Bacterial small subunit ribosomal RNA", at positions 1411 to 1525 of the family's 1533-position model. The record is from RNAcentral.